This 597-nucleotide ribosomal RNA is filed under the name Helicotylenchus oleae. RNAcentral describes it as "eukaryotic LSU rRNA". The stretch from base 287 to 597 matches the Rfam family "Eukaryotic large subunit ribosomal RNA", at positions 1 to 875 of the family's 3401-position model. Lineage: Eukaryota; Metazoa; Nematoda; Chromadorea; Rhabditida; Hoplolaimidae. The record is from RNAcentral.
UCAGUCGUGGCCGGCAGGCGUCAGGGAUGCCGCUCUCCAGAUUGGGACGGUGGCCUGGCUGCCAGUUGGGUUGCGGUGCAUUUGCGGGUGGAGUGCGCCGAGGCGCUCGGCUCAGCUGCAUGAUCUCGGCCUUGAGGCCAGCCCCUCACGGGGUCUGGUACCCGGGUCGGGGGAGUGCUGUUUGGGCUGGGUGUUCAGUGUUGGGCAAUGGUUUCGGGCCCGGGUGGGUGCCGAGCUGGUUGUCGGCGGCGGUCGCGUGCGACACGUGCCAGCGGUCAGUUCGGUCCUGCUCGAGCUCACACGUGCCUGGCCUCGGUGUAAAAGCCGGUCAUCUGUCCGACCCGUCUUGAAACACGGACCAAGGAGUUUAGCGUGUGCGCGAGUCAUUGGGCGUUGAAAACCCAAAGGCGCAAUGAAAGUGAAGGUCUGCCUCGCGCAGCUGAUGUGUGAUCCUGGCCACCCCGGUGCGUCCGGGCGCAACAUAGUCCCGUUCCGAUUGCUUGCAAUGGGGCGGAGACAGAGCGUACGCGCUGAGACCCGAAAGAUGGUGAACUAUUCCUGAGCAGGAUGAAGCCAGAGGAAACUCUGGUGGAAGUC